RNAcentral lists this transfer RNA (75 nucleotides) under Synechococcus phage S-PM2. RNAcentral describes it as "tRNA15-Pro;". It matches the Rfam family "tRNA". From Rfam's summary of the family: Transfer RNA (tRNA) molecules are approximately 80 nucleotides in length. Their secondary structure includes four short double-helical elements and three loops (D, anti-codon, and T loops). The record is from RNAcentral. Lineage: Duplodnaviria; Heunggongvirae; Uroviricota; Caudoviricetes; Pantevenvirales; Kyanoviridae.
ACGGGGUGUAGCUCAGUUUGGUAGAGCACUCGCUUUGGGAGCGAGUGGCCGUAGGUUCGAAUCCUAUCACCCCGA